GCUCUCAACAGAAACAAGAAAGGCUUCCCAGAACUAUCAGUAACACACUCGGCUCACUAUUCCAAGAAACUUUCCUGCCCUUUCAGCAGUGCUUUUCACCUGUGCCUAGUGCCCUCAAAGCAUGUCCACUAGAACAGCAGGUGAGGCAGGGCCUUGUGCUUCACUUCAAAACAGUCUGCUAUGUAUCAGACAUGGGGAACCAAAAACAUUCCUCAGGACAAGCAGGCCAGCUGUGCCCUUCGGUAGGAGCCUGAAGGUCAUGCUCUCCUCUGCUGGCUUUUGGCAUUACCCAACAGUUCUGUAACACAGUUUCCUCCCAAUAGAUUUUCAACAUUUCACAGUAGUGUGGAAGCAACCCCUGGCCCAGCCUUGAGAGUAGGAAAAAUGAGCCCAGGAGUGGGGCUGACAGAGGAAGCUCCUUUCUUGUGCUCUUUUCAGGUUGUAGCAAAUGCACAUCCCUCCCUCUGUGGGGUAAAACCUUCCCUAACAAAUAAACUCACUUCACACCAUCUGUACCUUCCCCAUCUCCCUUCUCCCCCAGUCCCUGUCCAAAGCAAGCUUUUCUCUGAAGGGAAAGAAAAGGUUAAUCAAGUCAUUCCUCUCUAACCAUCACCCCCCCUCACCACCAGCACUCUUUCUCUCCUUUCCCCUCCCCCUAAUCUGUGCAGCCUCAUUAAAAGAGCUUUGUAACUGUUUAGGACUGGAACAAACAAUCCAUCCACUUUGAGAGGGACUCUGGGACAGGAGUUAAGGCACUUUUCAUCUUAGGCACUAGAAAUUCUCAGCGUAUUCUGCUUAGGAGAGGGGGGUAAUGGGACUCACUACACUCCUCCAUUGUACAUGCAUACAGAGGUCAGCAAUCCUGCAAGCUGCCAGUAUAGCCAAGGAACCUCUGACAGAACAGGCAGGAGAAUGAUUUUGGGGUUGCUCAGGAAUCAGUGAGCCCCUCAGACAUCUCUCUCCCCUGCUCCCAGAGGAGUGCUUCUCUUUCCAGCCUGUCAUCAGAGCACAGGAACAGCUCUGGAGAAGGUGACCUGCUGUGUCCCAGCUGCCUAAGGGCUGUGGAAGCAGGUUUUGGUGGUUCCCCAUCGUGACGUGGUACAGAGGCACAGCAAAGGCAGGCAGCCUGGUGGGUGUGCGAUCAUUAACAGUCUAGUCACAGGCUUGUUCUCCCUCCCUCAGUGUCUGAUCACUGCCUCUUCCUAUGGCAAUACAGCUGCUAUAUCCAGGUCCCUCUGCUGGUUCAGGGCAGGAGGGGAAGAGCUCCCAGACCAUCAUCAGGAGUGACCUGUCACCAGGCUGGCAGCAAGACCCCCAGAUGAAUGAAGAUGGGCAAUAAGCAGCUGCCCCCCAUUCUCUAGGAAAGGGAGGACUGGAAGAGGACAACAGUGCAACAUCUCUAAUCCCGUAGUGCGUGAGGACUGUGCACGCCGUUCAACGCAAUCAAUCAGCUGGGAGGGUGGCAAAAGUGCCUUUCCCUCCCUUGCCUGCAUGGAAAGGCUAUCGCCACCAAUGGAGGCAGACACCUGUAGCAUCAGUGCUGCCCAGACCCAACCAUGAAACAAUUUCCCACCAUUCAUGUCUUGCUGCAGGAGCAACCUUAACAACUACCUCAGUAAGGAGUCAUCCCCCUGAACCUUCACCAGAGGAGCACCGUGAUUCCUUCAUCGCUUCUCCUUCACUUCCAGGAAAGCUGCGCUGGAUCCUACUUCCCCAACUCAGACUCUGUCAGGGCUUUUAUUUAAUGCUCUCUAAUGUGCCUGGCUAGCUCAGAUAGAUCAGCCUGAGAGCCAGAUAAAUAUUAUCAUCAAAGCACAAACCCUAGUCCUGUGUGAAGAGUCAUGCCUUCUGCCAUGCUCAGUCAUCAUCAAGCUGCCUACAUGAGAUCUGCUGGUAUUUCUAACGUUCCUAUCACCGUGGUGCCCAGACAACCAACAGACAAAUAAGGACAGAACCGUCAAUCUGCCUAAGCACUUAUACAGCCCACAUCAUCCAGGUACCUGAACCCAUAACCAUCCCUCUGCAACAUUUCCCCCCAAACUCCUGUAAUUCUCUCCUACCAUUUUUUCCACGUUAUACUGUUUCCUUAUCUGCACCAUCCUCUGGCCUAGGAGAAAAGGCAGCAUGAGGCUUUUAUGGAACUCUUGAGGACAGACAGAUCUCAACUCUACCUGAUCCGCUCUUUCCUCUUCUGGGGAAGAGGAAGGGGAGGGGAAAGGAACAAGGGGAGGGUUAAAGGGUGUUGUCACUGGACACUGAUACAGAAUUGUCUAUACUAUAGGUGGGGAACAGAUGCUACUGUACAAGUUUAUUGAGGAGCUGGGAGGCAAAGAAACCCCUGUUCUGGUUGACAGUGGAAAAACUCCUGGAGAGCAGAAACAAUUGUCCCACCAGCCAAAUCUGGCAGGAAGGCAGCAGGGAGUUGCUCUGUGCAACACUCAAGUGACAGUGCGCCUCAGUUCCCAUCGAGCACGGCCGAGCACUGCCUAAUGUGCGGCUGUCACUGGAUAAAGUAGAGAUAUAACAGGCUAGAAACAAAGCGUGCAGUGCUUGCAUGACUUCAGUUACAGCUGAAAUGGCUCCUAAUUGGGGAGUUGCCUUCCAGCACUGGUGCUGAACAAACAAUGUGAAUAACUGAUUAGUUUGCAAGCGACGUUUAUUUUCACAAUUGUGGGAGAUGAUCUGGCCCGCGCUCUCUCCAACUGCAGAGAAGAAAUGGCAGGAGAGAACUAACCUGUUAUAACCUUUAAAAUGUAAUCCAUGCCUGCCUCGUGAACAGCCACUUUCACGUGGGCACUCUGUCUAAACCCCUUAAUAUCUCUUGGCAACACAGCCCUCUUGACUCUUUAGAAAACAGAUUUAUAGGACAGGUUUGCAAAGAAAGCUGCCCUUCUUUUUUCUUUAAAAAGAGGAAAGGAGGAAGAGUUGGUUUCUAAUUCCUCAAGAAUGACAAUGAGCUAGGCAUUUUGAACUCCACUCGGCGGCACGAACCCGAGCUGGGACCCAAGGCAAAUACCGCCGAAACAGCCUUUUGCAAUGUCAGGAGACCCGAGGCUGAUGCAAGAAGGCAGCGCGCUGCCUCCCUGCCCCGCGCCCCGCCGACCGCAGCGCCCCGGCCCCAGCGGGACCCUCACGGCCGCGUCGCGCCGGGGCGCGUUCAUGUGCGCGGGCACUCCGCACGGCGCUGCCGCUGCCCCAGGGCCCCGCGGAGCUCCGGCCAGCGCUGUCCCCCCGCCGCAGCACCGCACGCACACACGCACACGUGUCGGUGCUGGGGGCACCCACUCGCACCCGACGCCAGCGGCGCGGCCGCACCGCACCGAGCAGGACCUUAUGUGGCAGAUGGAGUGGAAGAUCCCAGGCUGGCAGAUCACAGGGCUCACCAUGGACUGGUGGAAGGGGUAGGGGGAAAAGACACUGAAGAAAGAAAAUGCUAUAUUGUCAUUUAAAAGCAGGUAUUCCAAUGCUCUGCCACAGACUCAUAGUUAUCCAGGCAAAGCAUUGGCUCUAUAGAGGCACCUGCUGGCUGAGAGAAACACAUGAAAGAACCCCACCCCCUCCGCCACCUCCCCCCCCCCAAAAAAAAAGAAAUCUUUGGUUUUGGUAGAUCUUAGACCUGUUUGUCCCUUUGUUUAAUUUUAAAAGAUGUUGUGUCAACCCUUGGUGCAGUAUGUGGGGAUGUUGCCCUGGUCACACUGAUCCUGAGGAAGGCUGGGAGAUGAGUGACAGGUCUGCCUGAGCAAGGAGCAGCUCCCAUCUGGCCCCUCUACUUCCCCAGCUGCAGAGGGUUUCUGAAGAAACAAAUACCCAUCCAAAAUAACUGGAGUUCCCCAUGUUCAGGAUGCAAUUGCCAAAAAUGCCUUCCAAGAGACAGGGAGAAUUCAAACUCCCCCAGGAAAAAGAGGGGAUAUUUCAUUAACUGAAGCAAGAAGCAGAGGCAGUGACAAGUGAGUGGAGGUAACAGGACUGGUCCUCAACAGUCAGCAGGAUUGUUUUAACAUCUACGGAGACAUCAAGAAACUCAAAACAGCUCAUCCUGCCAAAAUGAUAUGUAAUGUCAGCUUCAGGGUACAGUCAUCUUGACCCUGACUUAUAUUUCCCUGGCUAAUAGAUCUGGUAGGAAUAUACACACACGGUUUUUGUGAUAGUACUUCACCUUACACUUACAUCACAUUCCCUGGAGAAGUAUCUGAUGGGGGAGCCUUACUCAUUAAAUCAUUUCCUGGAGGGGAGAAUUCAUUUGGGCUCAUUUAUUAUCAUUUGUCCUGGAGCUCAUAUUUUACAUUCUGAGCAUAAGGAGUGGGUAUUAUUCAUGGCUAUGUGUCUAAGAAGCAAAUGCUAAUUUCAAGAAAACUGUUCUAUUGUCUGAGGUUGAUCACUUGAUGUUUGUCCCAGGUGCUAUACACAUGUUGCUUGCUGAAGGAGAUAUGGCUUGAUCUCAGAUUUUGACAUUUUGGUUACUACCAAACAAAAAUAAAACUAAACUGAAGUAUGCCUAUCCCUCCCCUGAAAAUCAAGUGGCAUUUAGCAAUAUUGAUUUGAACAAUAAAUAAAUCUAUUCAACAAUCAAAUCAGAACAACUUGAGUGGGGGACCUAAAUGAGUACAAUAACAGAGACACAGAAAUUUGACAGUCCUGUGCAAAGACAAGCAAACAGGACUUCAGUCCAAAGGAACCCACAAAGCACCUAUUCUGCAUUCCAUGGGCCUCAAAGUCGCCCCAGCACCUCUCACCACACUUCAGAGCUGUAGCAAAAGCCAAAUACCACAAACAUAACUCACCACAGAAAGGGAAGAGGGCAAGGCUCUCUCCAAAGUCGUGGCAGUGGCAGGCUGUGGCUUGCACCCAUGCCCCACAGAACUGUCACCACAAUUAGCGCCAAAGAAAAAGUAGCAAACACCAACCAGUGGUGUCUAUCUGAUCCAGAAAGAACUCCCUCCUGCCCACAAAUCUGAGAGCCAGAAUAAAUUCUGGGGACACAGGGAUGGGAUCACAGGCACACCUUGCCACAGGUCACAUCUUUUCUCUGCCCACUCACUCACCAGUGCUCCCCUAGAAGGUAGAAGCCACAGAACGCCUGCCACACAGGCAUGGUGCCAACAAGUGCUGACCCAACCUCCUCUCAUC
Long non-coding RNA from Poecile atricapillus (Black-capped chickadee), 5127 nucleotides. RefSeq lists it as uncharacterized. NCBI's taxonomy places the organism in Eukaryota, Metazoa, Chordata, Aves, Passeriformes, Paridae. The record is from RefSeq and is a predicted model, not a curated record. The transcript is spliced from 5 exons.